CAGUCGCCACGGGAAUACGAAGGGGGCUAGCGUUGCUCGGAAUGACUGGGCGUAAAGGGCGCGUAGUCGGCCAUUCAAGUUAGAUGUGAAAGCCCUGGGCUCAACCUAGGAAUUGCAUUUGAUACUGUUUGGCUUGAGUUCGGGAGAGGUGAGUGGAAUUCCCAGUGUAGAGGUGAAAUUCGUAGAUAUUCGGAAGAACACCAGUGGCGAAGGCGGCCCGCUGGACAUGUAUUGACGCUGAGGUGCGAAAGCGUGGGGAGCAAACAGGAUUAGAUACCCCGGUAGUCCCUGUCUCUUAUAA
This 301-nucleotide ribosomal RNA is filed under the name uncultured bacterium. Its description in RNAcentral is "partial 16S ribosomal RNA". It matches the Rfam family "Bacterial small subunit ribosomal RNA", at positions 509 to 809 of the family's 1533-position model. The record is from RNAcentral.